This 340-nucleotide unclassified non-coding RNA is filed under the name soil metagenome. Its description in RNAcentral is "partial contains 5.8S ribosomal RNA, internal transcribed spacer 2, and large subunit ribosomal RNA". The stretch from base 1 to 120 matches the Rfam family "5.8S ribosomal RNA", at positions 35 to 154 of the family's 154-position model. The record is from RNAcentral.
GAUGAAGAACGCAGCGAAAUGCGAUGAGUAGUGUGAAUUGCAGAAUUCAGUGAAUCAUCGAAUCUUUGAACGCACAUUGCGCCCUUUGGUAUUCCAAAGGGCAUGCCUGUUCGAGCGUCAUUUGUACCCUCAAGCUUUGCUUGGUGUUGGGCGUCUUGUCUCUAGCUUUGCUGGAGACUCGCCUUAAAGUAAUUGGCAGCCGGCCUACUGGUUUCGGAGCGCAGCACAAGUCGCACUCUCUAUCAGCAAAGGUCUAGCAUCCAUUAAGCCUUUUUUUCAACUUUUGACCUCGGAUCAGGUAGGGAUACCCGCUGAACUUAAGCAUAUCAAUAAGCGGGGA